UCCACUGUCUGGCCUCUGGAAAAAAUNGC
RNAcentral lists this non-coding RNA (29 nucleotides) under Mus musculus (house mouse). The record is from RNAcentral. Lineage: Eukaryota; Metazoa; Chordata; Mammalia; Rodentia; Muridae.